GGGUUGUGAGGUUAAGCGACUAAGCGUACACGGUGGAUGCCCUGGCAGUCAGAGGCGAUGAAGGACGUGCUAAUCUGCGAUAAGCGUCGGUAAGGUGAUAUGAACCAUUAUAACCGGCGAUUUCCGAAUGGGGAAACCCAGUGUGAUUCGUCACACUAUCAUUAACUGAAUCCAUAGGUUAAUGAGGCGAACCGGGGGAACUGAAACAUCUAAGUACCCCGAGGAAAAGAAAUCAACCGAGAUUCCCCCAGUAGCGGCGAGCGAACGGGGAGCAGCCCAGAGCCUGAAUCAGUGUGUGUGUUAGUGGAAGCGUCUGGAAAGGCGUGCGAUACAGGGUGACAGCCCCGUACACAAAAAUGCACAUAUUGUGAGCUCGAUGAGUAGGGCGGGACACGUGGUAUCCUGUCUGAAUAUGGGGGGACCAUCCUCCAAGGCUAAAUACUCCUGACUGACCGAUAGUGAACCAGUACCGUGAGGGAAAGGCGAAAAGAACCCCGGCGAGGGGAGUGAAAAAGAACCUGAAACCGUGUACGUACAAGCAGUGGGAGCACGCUUAGGCGUGUGACUGCGUACCUUUUGUAUAAUGGGUCAGCGACUUAUAUUCUGUAGCAAGGUUAACCGAAUAGGGGAGCCGAAGGGAAACCGAGUCUUAACUGGGCGUUAAGUUGCAGGGUAUAGACCCGAAACCCGGUGAUCUAGCCAUGGGCAGGUUGAAGGUUGGGUAACACUAACUGGAGGACCGAACCGACUAAUGUUGAAAAAUUAGCGGAUGACUUGUGGCUGGGGGUGAAAGGCCAAUCAAACCGGGAGAUAGCUGGUUCUCCCCGAAAGCUAUUUAGGUAGCGCCUCGUGAAUUCAUCUCCGGGGGUAGAGCACUGUUUCGGCAAGGGGGUCAUCCCGACUUACCAACCCGAUGCAAACUGCGAAUACCGGAGAAUGUUAUCACGGGAGACACACGGCGGGUGCUAACGUCCGUCGUGAAGAGGGAAACAACCCAGACCGCCAGCUAAGGUCCCAAAGUCAUGGUUAAGUGGGAAACGAUGUGGGAAGGCCCAGACAGCCAGGAUGUUGGCUUAGAAGCAGCCAUCAUUUAAAGAAAGCGUAAUAGCUCACUGGUCGAGUCGGCCUGCGCGGAAGAUGUAACGGGGCUAAACCAUGCACCGAAGCUGCGGCAGCGACGCUGAUGCGUUGUUGGGUAGGGGAGCGUUCUGUAAGCCUG
RNAcentral lists this ribosomal RNA (1219 nucleotides) under Shigella flexneri. Its description in RNAcentral is "partial 23S ribosomal RNA". It matches the Rfam family "Bacterial large subunit ribosomal RNA", at positions 1 to 1251 of the family's 2925-position model. The record is from RNAcentral. Lineage: Bacteria; Pseudomonadati; Pseudomonadota; Gammaproteobacteria; Enterobacterales; Enterobacteriaceae.